RNAcentral lists this long non-coding RNA (927 nucleotides) under Daphnia magna. RNAcentral's name for it is "uncharacterized LOC123474140, transcript variant X3". The record is from RNAcentral. Lineage: Eukaryota; Metazoa; Arthropoda; Branchiopoda; Diplostraca; Daphniidae.
GUUUUGUUUGGUCACAGUCGCGUUUCCUCAGCGUUUCUGUUUACAGUUGGCUGAGAAUAUUAGUUUCUCCAAGGAAUUUCACAAGUGCUUUUUGUAUAACAUAUUGUUUGUCUCUUUCAGGUUGGAAGUUUGGGCAGUGGAUAAUGAUGUGUUCAGAAACAUGAUAGGUGACAACUUGUUAUGCCCACUGCGAAGUCUAUGGAGUUUACGGUUGAUUGGAGUUGAAAAUAUCAGAUGCCAGGGGAGGGAACCCAUUUCUGUACGCAGCAUAGCAUUUAUCCUGUUUGAAGAGCUUUGUAUAGAGGUGAGAUUGGUAAGUGUGGCUUUGUUGAUGUUUUUUAUUAAUUUCUUGUAGGAUUUCUUCUACUGAGUUGUUGUUGUUCUCAUUUACAAGGGAGGAUGUGUGCCCAAGUUUGGCUAGGGAGUCAGCCCUUUCAUUUCCUGCAAUACCUACGUGGCUUGGGAUCCACAGUUUAAUUAUUUGUUUCUUAGAGCUUCUUAUAUCUUCUUGUUUUUGCAGGAUCUUGUUAAUUAGAACACUUUUGGUGGAUUUUGAACCUGUAGUCAAUUGGAGGGCAGAUAGAGAGUCACAUACUACUCCGUCGUUGUAGAGCUGCGAGCUUCGGUCAGUUUCCAGGAUUCUGCCAGAUGACGUUUUGGGCACCAUACACUAUAUCCGGCUACAUCUUGUAUAUGGUCAUGGGAACCGUCAGUGAAGAGGGUUCAAGAUGGCUUCCUUCUUGCUGAUGGCCAGUUUUUGGAAUGGAAAGUGCUUGAUUUCCCAUGGCGGAGGAAAUGUUUUAUCCAUAGAAGGAGUUUGCCCCGAAUACUAAGCUGGGAAAGUUUGAAAAGCAAUCCGAGGUGCCACGUCGAGUCGUACGCUCCAGCAAUGUCCAGAAAGACAGUAUAAGUAUUAAUAUCUUUGUU